This 468-nucleotide ribosomal RNA is filed under the name uncultured bacterium. Its description in RNAcentral is "partial 16S ribosomal RNA". It matches the Rfam family "Bacterial small subunit ribosomal RNA", at positions 28 to 507 of the family's 1533-position model. The record is from RNAcentral.
GACGAACGCUGGCGGCGUGCUUAACACAUGCAAGUCGAACGGAACGUCCCUGCUUUUGUGGGGUGCUCGAGUGGCGACCGGGUGAGUAACACGUGAGUACCCUGCCCUUGACUUUGGGAUAACUUCAUGCCACUUGGGCUCAUCCCGGAUAGGAGCUCCUGCUUCAUGGUGGGGGUUGGUUAGUUUCGGCGGUUGGGGAUGGACACGCGGCUUAUCAGCUUGUUGGUGGGGUAGUGGCUUACCAAGGCUUUGACGGGUAGCCGUCCUGAGCGGGUGACCGGCAACAGUGGGACUGAGAUUCAGACCAGACUCCGACGGGAGGGAGAAGUGGGGAAGAGGGCAAAAUGGGCAGAAGCCAGAUGCAGCAACGCCGCGGGCGGGAGGACGACCAUCGGGUUAGAAUCCUAACGCGCCUGUGACGAAGCGGGAGUGACGAGAAUGGGUAGAGAAACACCGGCCAAAUACGGG